ACGUUUACGCUGACUCCUCCAGUGCCUCAUCAAUGAAGUAAGCAGGCAGCUACGUUCUGGAUGGCUAGCAUGUACCGAAGGCACAAAACCUCCAGAGUUGGCAGAGUUAAGUCCUGGCGUGCCCGAGGCUAUCCAGGGGAACACGCGGGACAGACAGCACCCUCAGCCUGUCCCCAUGACCCUCUGCUCCAGUCUGAGGGGCAGGACACCAUGAGACCUCUCAGACACAGAGUCCACCCUCGACAUGACCCGGAUGAAAGGCAGGAGUGUGUGCCCUGCUUUUGCCCUCGAAGCUCGCUGAAGGGGACCCAUCUCUGCAAGCCCACAGCCCUACCUGCAGCAUCCACAGCCUCAGAGAGCAGCGGGGCCCCUUACCCCUGAACCCCCUCCAAGAGCAUCAGGACAACAAGCCUUGAGCUGUGGAGACAAGAGAAUCAGUAUCCCUGGCCCAGGGAGGAUUCCAGGAGAGGACACGGGCAGGAGCCCUGGCCCAGAGCCAGAACCAAGAGUCCAGCCAGCGAAACUGGAACUAGGGUCCCCGGCACCCAGGACUCUGCGAGCAUCCCCCAACAGCAAGCCCUUCUGCAAGGGAGACGGGUUGGCCCACCCCAGGCUGUCCAGCUCCAGCAGCCUUGCAGGCAGCCUCUCCAGAAAAAGAGCCUGGUCCUCCCCACCCUGCUCCCCACAGGCUGUCCCUGACCCUGAGGCCCAGAGGCACAAGAGGACUUCUGUAGAGCCCAGGGGAGCAGGCUGUUCUCUUGGGGCCCCAGCGGGCUCAAGGUGUGGCCAGGCUGUCCCCAACUCAGGAUAGAUCAUAGGCUGUCCUGCGUACCUCCUCUGGAACUCCCUGCCCAAGCUCUGCCAUGGACCUGGACGUCAGGGGCCUGUGGUUUAACUUUGAAUAGGGAUUCUGGACCUUACACGUGUGCCCUGGACAGCCCCAGAACCAUGGGGUGGGGACCGACCCAGCAAGCCCACCGGGGCCCUGAAACCCGGCCCUGCCGGACACUGUGAUAAUAACCAAGAGGCAAGUCCAGAGACAUCCACUUUGCCCAAUGGCACCUGCAUCCAACUUCUCAGCAGGCAGUGACUGGCAUGGUGUGGGGGCAGCCGGGGCAGCACCUGGCCAGCACCUGGCCAGCUGCCCUGUAGCCCCCGAUGGCUCCAGUGCCUCUGGACCUCAUUUUCUACUUUCUACGGGGAAACCUACUCCCUCAGAGGCCACCAGAGGGAAGAGUGAGCAAGGCGUUCCUGCAGUCCCGACCAGCCAGCGGCAUGUCCUGUGGCCUCUGACUCAACCUAUGAGACAGAGCUCUGAUCCCAGGGCACACUUCCCAGGACACGGGGCCCAGCCUCAACCAGAGCCCUGUGAAGGGAGGGGCACCAGGAUGACCACAUGGGGGACCAUGGCGCUGCACACCUGGGCACUGUACUUCUCAUUGGAGAAUCCAGGCAAGAUCUUGAAGCAGGUGCAUGAGGUCCUGAGCCUGUGCAGCAAACAGCACUCAUCUGGGGUUGGCACGAAGGGGUCUACAGAGCCACGGCCACCGCAGCCUCUUCCCGGCCCCAUCUGUGCAGUGCAAGUGAUCCACGCCUGCUCCUAAACCCAGCCCAGCAAGCAGCAGCAGCCCGGGCCCCCAAGCCCGCCAGGCCAAUGUGCUGCCCAGAGGCUUCGAGGCCCUGCCCGCUGUACCUCCCACCACCUGGAAGCUGCCUCCUGACGCCUUCCAGCCACUGCUGCAGCCGCAACAGGUGUCGCGGCCAGUGCAGGCUUUCCAGACGGUGGCAGCGCCCAGCAGCCGUUGCCUCAGCUCUUUGGUGGCAGCCAGGCCAACAAGGGCAGCAACGAUGACUAGGAUGAUGAGUGAGCAAACAGCUCCACACUGGUGGACAGGCUGGGUGCGCACCCGGUGGUCCUCAAAGGCUCGCUGGGCCUGUACCACCGUUAUAAAUUUGAGAUCAUGAGAUUAUACCGUUUGCCUUCUUGCUUUUUGAAGUACGAGUAUUUUUAUGCACACUUUGUAGACUUCAAAAUCCAUGAAGAGUCUCAAAGAAGCCGGAUGGAUGGAGCCUGCUGCGGAUGCCUUUUACUCUCGUAGAUCAGGGUGAUUUACAUUCCACCUGUAGUCUGCUUGCAAACACACAGAGCAGCCUUGCAGCUUUGUGCCUUUAGACUCUUGGUUUUGCAUUUCUCCCUGCUCCCUUCUUCCUUCCAGUAAGCUGCAACUUUUCUGAUUGAAAGGGUGCAAGGCUAACACACGGAAUGACUAACUCAGGAUCACAUACUGGCAGUGGGAGAGGCAGGAGGAGCAGCUGCCAUCAAUUGCCAGGGCCAAGUGGAUGAUAGGAUGGAUGCUGGUGCAUGCGGAGGAGGCAGACGCAACGCUCAUCUCUAAUAAUGAUGUCUGUUCCCUCAGAGGCGGCUAGAGCAUCACCUCUUCACGCAAGUGUCUUGAAACUCAGCUUGAAGAUUUCAGCAAAUGUGUCUUACAGAGAAGAGAAGAGGGAGUCAGCCCAUCGGGAUUAAAAAUAUAGAGGCAGUGACAACACACACUCGGCUUCAGUUCUUAGGAGAGUUUUGGUUUUGAUUUUUUUUUUUUUUUUGGAGAAGAUUUUUUUUUUAAUGGAUCUACACUGUUAACUGAGACUCUGUUGAGAUUCACUGGUUUACUUAAAAACUUCUCAGGGAUGUCUGUAAAUUUCAGUGUUAUAUGUCAUGAAAACUGGUGUGGGCAGAUCUGUUGGUUGAAAUAAUUUCUACUGUUUCAAUGUUUUUGUAGUUACUGAGCUAAAUCAUAUGGUAAUUGACAGUUUCUAAAUCUGUCACCUAAAGGUUAAAUUAUCUACUGUUGCCGUGAAGUCAAACUUACUGCUGCCUCAGAAAUCCCUGGGUACCGCGAUGGUCAUACAGAAGUAAGGAAGUCAAUUUGAAAUGUCAGUGAGUCAAAAUGAUUAAAGAGGCCAGGUGCAGUGGCUCACGCUUGUAAUCCCAGCACUUUGGGAGGCUGAGGCAGUGGAUUGCUUGAGUCCAGGAGUUUGAGAUCAACCUGUGCGACAUGGCAAAACCCUGUCUCUACAAAAAAUACAAAACAAAUUUAUCCAG
RNAcentral lists this long non-coding RNA (3103 nucleotides) under Homo sapiens (human). Its description in RNAcentral is "non-protein coding LINC00661:21". The record is from RNAcentral. Lineage: Eukaryota; Metazoa; Chordata; Mammalia; Primates; Hominidae.